RNAcentral lists this long non-coding RNA (314 nucleotides) under Elaeis guineensis (African oil palm). RNAcentral describes it as "long non-coding RNA (EGUI_LNC019122)". Lineage: Eukaryota; Viridiplantae; Streptophyta; Magnoliopsida; Arecales; Arecaceae. The record is from RNAcentral.
CAUAGCAAAUCUAUUGUUUUUGGUGCUUAUGAAUAGAUUCUAGUAUCUAUGCAUAGCAAAUCUCUAGCAACAUUACAAUUUGAUGAAGUUAUAAGGAUCAUAAUCUUUUUUAUAUAUGAAUGUUUGGGUUCUUGUAUGCAUAAAGUUUUGAAAAGAAAGGUGAUGAAGAUCCUAUGUUAUAUCCAUCUUGUAAAAUAUAUGAAAAAUAAGUUAUUUACCCUGCAAAAGAGGAAAACAGUAUCAUGAUAACUUCUAAUCAUUCCAAUUUUGUAUAGUUUGAAAAUAGAAUCAGAAUGUGGAGAGAGGUUGCCAUA